RNAcentral lists this ribosomal RNA (333 nucleotides) under uncultured Coriobacteriales bacterium. RNAcentral's name for it is "bacterial SSU rRNA". It matches the Rfam family "Bacterial small subunit ribosomal RNA", at positions 38 to 339 of the family's 1533-position model. The record is from RNAcentral. Lineage: Bacteria; Bacillati; Actinomycetota; Coriobacteriia; Coriobacteriales.
GGGCGGCGUGCCUAACACAUGCAAGUCGAGCGGGGACAUAGGACAGCGGAUGAAGAUUUCGGUUGGAGUCCAAAGGCUUAUGUUCUAGCGGCGGACGGGUGAGUAACGCGUGAGCAACCUGUCCCUUACGAGGGGAUAACACAGCGAAAGUUGUACUAAUACCGCAUAAGACCACGACGGGGCAUCCCGGAGGGGUCAAAGGAGAAAUCCGGUAAGGGGUGGGCUCGCGUCCGAUUAGAUAGUUGGUGAGGUAACGGCCCACCAAGUCGACGAUCGGUAGCCGACCUGAGAGGGUGAUCGGCCACAUUGGGACUGAGACACGGCCCAAACUCC